GAUGAACGCUGGCGGCGUGCUUAACACAUGCAAGUCGAACGGUGAAGCAGGAGCUUGCUCUUGUGGAUCAGUGGCGAACGGGUGAGUAACACGUGAGCAACCUGCCCCUGACUCUGGGAUAAGCGCUGGAAACGGCGUCUAAUACUGGCUAUGUGAUGUGACCGCAUGGUCUGCAUCUGGAAAGAAUUUCGGUUGGGGAUGGGCUCGCGGCCUAUCAGCUUGUUGUUGAGGUAAUGGCUCACCAAGGCGUCGACGGGUAGCCGGCCUGAGAGGGUGACCGGCCACACUGGGACUGAGACACGGCCCAGACUCCUACGGGAGGCAGCAGUGGGGAAUAUUGCACAAUGGGCGGAAGCCUGAUGCAGCAACGCCGCGUGAGGGAUGACGGCCUUCGGGUUGUAAACCUCUUUUAGCAGGGAAGAGGCGAAAGUGACAGUACCUGCAGAAAAAGCACCGGCUAACUACGUGCCAGCCGCCGCCGUAA
Molecule: ribosomal RNA, 484 nt
Filed under: uncultured bacterium
Lineage: Bacteria
Description: partial 16S ribosomal RNA
Rfam family: Bacterial small subunit ribosomal RNA
Source: RNAcentral